This 23-nucleotide microRNA is filed under the name Mus musculus (house mouse). RNAcentral describes it as "mmu-miR-6983-3p". The record is from miRBase by way of RNAcentral. Lineage: Eukaryota; Metazoa; Chordata; Mammalia; Rodentia; Muridae.
UGAAUCAAAGUCUGUUGUUCCAG